GGCAGACCUCCGCGGUGUUCGUCCAUCAUUACCGGCAUCUAUUUCCUUUGGCAUUCCCUCCAAAGUCAAACCGAUCCUCAAACCCUCUUUUAACAUUGCAAACCACCAACACCGUCAUCCUCCUUCAUCCGCCAUGGAACCCCGCCAAGUCGACCAAUUCGAGCCGGAACUUCAACUACCACGCCUCCGUAUCAAUCCCUCCUCUCCUCCUCGCGUCCCCAUUACCACUCCUACCCCUACCUCCGCUGCACAACGCCGAAUCGCCAUCGCCGUUGAUCUCAGCGAUGAAAGCGCUUAUGCUGUUAAGUGGGCUGUUAAUAACUACCUCCGCCCCGGUGACGCCGUCAUCCUUCUCCAUGUCCGUCCUACCUCCGUCCUGUAUGGCGCUGACUGGGGCUCGAUCAAGCUCCAUAUCAACGAUAAUAACGAUAGCUCAUCUCUGGACGAAAGUGAUCACAAGAAGCUGGAGGACGAUUUCAAUAAUUUCACUACCACGAAAGCCAAUUCCGUAGCGCAGCCGCUGGUUGAGGCGCACUUUCCAUUCAAAAUCCAUAUCGUGAAGGACCAUGACAUGAAAGAGAGGCUAUGUUUGGAGGUGGAGAGGUUGGGG
RNAcentral lists this unclassified non-coding RNA (610 nucleotides) under Hevea brasiliensis (rubber tree). Lineage: Eukaryota; Viridiplantae; Streptophyta; Magnoliopsida; Malpighiales; Euphorbiaceae. The record is from RNAcentral.